Dermochelys coriacea (leatherback sea turtle) is the source of this 1978-nucleotide long non-coding RNA. RefSeq lists it as uncharacterized. Lineage: Eukaryota; Metazoa; Chordata; Testudines; Dermochelyidae. The transcript is spliced from 4 exons. The record is from RefSeq and is a predicted model, not a curated record.
AAUAAAUUUGUUAGUCUCUAAGGUGCCACAAGUACUCCUUUUCUUUUUGCGAAUAUUUAUACCAUUAUUUACAAUAACUCUGGAUAUUCUUAUUAUCCAUAUAAUUCUCUAGUCUCUUAUUGAAUCUUAAUAAGUUCUUGGCCUCAACAACUUCCUGUGGAAAUGAGUUUGAGAAUUACACAUAAUGUGAAAAAUAUUUCCUUUUAUUGGUUUUAAUUUUCCCACUUUUUAAUUUAAUUGAAUGGCCCCUUAUUAUCUUAUGAGACAGGGAGAACAGAAGCUCCCAAACUGCCUUCUCUAGACCAUUAAUAAUUGUAUGUUUUUUAUCUCAUUCCCUUUUAUUCAUGUCUUUUCUAUGCCACACAAUCACAGUCUUUCUAAUCUCUUUUCCUAAGAGAGCUUUUUCAUGCCCUUGAUCAUUCUGGUCACUUUUCUUUGAACCUAUGGAAUGCAUCCGAUGAAGUGAGCUGUAGUUCACGAAAGCUUAUGCUCAAAUAAAUUUGUUAGUCUCUAAGGUGCCACAAGUACUCCUUUUCUUUUUGCAAAUACAGACUAACACGGCUGCUACUCUGAAACCUAUUCCAAGUCUGCAAUGGUCUUUUAGAGAUGAGGAGACCAGCACUACACUCAGUAUUCCAGCUAAGGCCACAUCAUUGAUAUAUAAUAUUCUUUGUAUUGUUCAUCAUCUCAUUCCUGUGCAUCUAAUGUUUUGUUAGCUUUUUUGACUGUAGCUGCACAUUGAGCAGAGGUCUUCAUUUAGUUGUUUACCAAGACACUCAGGACAAAUAUAGAUAAUACUGUGAGAAGAAUGUUUGAAUGCUGCUUCUGUUGUGGAGUAGAGAGACGUUGAGGCAAUAUUAUGUAUAACUAAGACUCUUCACCUUCUUCCUGCACCUCAGUUUAAUUAUUUGCUAAAGCACAGGCCAGGAUUCUGUCUCUUCAGAAGGCAUCUCGUGGACUUAAACUUAAGAGCUGUUAUAUAUAGGAUCCUGAUAAAUAAGUGUUAAUAAUUCCUAGUCAGCUUUGGAGUAUCAUACUGUUUCUUAGUAAAUAAAAAUUAAUGUACACAGAAAAAAUGUAAAUAGUAUUUGGAAUACUAUGAAUAACUAUUAAAAAAACCCUGUUGGGUAAUAUAGCUACAGUUAUUCCUUACACAGACUUUGCCACUUUUAUUUCAUUUAAAUAUAUUUAAAUAUAAGCUUCCAAUAUAAUAUUUACACACACUUUAGCACAUGCAUAUAAACAUUCCCCUCUGAUCUUCUACAGAGAUAAUUUCUCAGUCUUUAUAAUGUGCUCAUAGUAUCUAUUGUGUGGCACCUGGACUCGUCAGAGCUUGAGAAGAAUGGCAGCAUCUAGGAGUCUGAAUAUGCCAAAUCUCAUGGACAGAUGACUUAUCCCUAUCACUGAGUUGACAUAAAUGUGGCUAUUAUUCCUUAUUCAGUAUACAAAUAUUACUCCCACUGAUGCUAAUGGGAGAGACACGCACACAUGGGGACAUUUCAGCUGUUUUCUUGAUUAAGAGCCAUCCUAUAAUGGGGGAUCUUCAUUUCUCUUUCAUUUGAAUUAACAGUCAACAGUAACUAGAAGUGUUCGUUGCCAGAGGAGACGCAGGCAACAAGCAGCUCAAGAGUACAACUGCAUUUUCUCAACAAGCCUUUGAAGGUAUUAGUGGCACCUAUUAGUGGCACCCUUAAACAUGUCAGUGGAGAGAAGCUUAUUUGGCUUCACUCACAUUAUUAGGGGUUUACAAAUUCUGCUGUUAUUUCACCAUUUGUGAGAUUACUGCUGGCUGGGAAAUUACAAUAAAACCAAAGUUGAUAGUCUUCCUGUUGUGAGAGAACUGGAUUAUAAACUAAAUUAAAACAAAACAACUAUAAAUGUGAGCAGACUGGAUGCAGCACUUGUCUUUAUAGCUUAUUGUUAAUUUAAUUAUUGUUGUAUGAGUGUAAUUCCCAUUAGGGAAUAAGAUACUGUAACC